UUCACGAAGCAAUCGGAAGUGGUUCCAAGAAAAGCCUCUAAGCUUCAGUCAUACGAGACCGUACCGCAAACCGACACAGGUGGGCGAGAUGAGUAUUCUAAGGCGCUUGAGAGAACUCGGGAGAAGGAACUCGGCAAAUUGGUACCGUAACUUCGGGAAAAGGUACGCCCCGGUAGCUUGACCACUUUACUGUGGAAGGGUGAAAGGGUUGCAAUAAACUGGUGGCUGCGACUGUUUAAUAAAAACACAGCACUCUGCAAACACGAAAGUGGACGUAUAGGGUGUGACGCCUGCCCGGUGCUGGAAGAUUAAAUGAUGGGGUGCAAGCUCUUGAUUGAAGUCCCAGUAAACGGCGGCCGUAACUAUAACGGUCCUAAGGUAGCGAAAUUCCUUGUCGGGUAAGUUCCGACCUGCACGAAUGGCGUAACGAUGGCCACACUGUCUCCUCCCGAGACUCAGCGAAGUUGAAAUGUUUGUGAUGAUGCAAUCUACCCGCGGCUAGACGGAAAGACCCCAUGAACCUUUACUGUAGCUUUGCAUUGGACUUUGAACCAAUCUGUGUAGGAUAGGUGGGAGGCUUUGAAGCGGGGACGCUAGUUCUCGUGGAGCCAACCUUGAAAUACCACCCUGGUUUGUUUGAGGUUCUAACCUUGGUCCGUUAUCCGGAUCGGGGACAGUGCAUGGUAGGCAGUUUGACUGGGGCGGUCUCCUCCUAAAGUGUAACGGAGGAGUUCGAAGGUACGCUAGAUACGGUCGGACAUCGUGUUGAUAGUGCAAUGGCAUAAGCGUGCUUAACUGCGAGACUGACAAGUCGAGCAGGUACGAAAGUAGGACAUAGUGAUCCGGUGGUUCUGUAUGGAAGGGCCAUCGCUCAACGGAUAAAAGGUACUCUGGGGAUAACAGGCUGAUUCCUCCCAAGAGUUCAUAUCGACGGGGGAGUUUGGCACCUCGAUGUCGGCUCAUCACAUCCUGGGGCUGUAGCCGGUCCCAAGGGUAUGGCUGUUCGCCAUUUAAAGUGGUACGUGAGCUGGGUUUAAAACGUCGUGAGACAGUUUGGUCCCUAUCUGCCGUGGGCGUUGGAAAUUUGAAGGGGGCUGCUCCUAGUACGAGAGGACCGGAGUGGACGAACCUCUGGUGUACCGGUUGUCACGCCAGUGGCAUUGCCGGGUAGCUAAGUUCGGAAGAGAUAACCGCUGAAAGCAUCUAAGCGGGAAACUUGCCUUGAGAUGAGAUUUCCCAGAGCCUUGAGCUCUUUGAAGGGUCGUUCGAGACCAGGACGUUGAUAGGCUGGGUGUGGAAGUGCAGUAAUGCAUUAAGCUAACCAGUACUAAUUGCCCGUACGGCUUGUCCCU
Molecule: ribosomal RNA, 1352 nt
Filed under: Janthinobacterium sp. GW458P
Lineage: Bacteria; Pseudomonadati; Pseudomonadota; Betaproteobacteria; Burkholderiales; Oxalobacteraceae
Description: partial 23S ribosomal RNA
Rfam family: Bacterial large subunit ribosomal RNA
Source: RNAcentral